AAAUUUAAUUAAAUUAUGUUUGUUUACCAGAGUACUACGAAUAAAACUAUUUAAAACUUAAAGGGCUUGGCGGUGCUUUAGACUUCUCAGGGGAACCUGUCUCGUAAUCGAUGAUCCGCGAAUCAACCUCACUUUCUCUUGUGAUCAGUAUGUAUACCGUCGUCGCCAGGUAACUUUUAAGAAUAUAAAAGUUAGCGAGGAAAACUUUAAAGUUUUUAUGUCAGAUCAAGGUGCAACUUACGGGAAAGAGUGGAUGGGUUACAAUUAAUAUUUAUAACUACGGAUAUUAGUUUGAAAUAAUUAGUUGAAGGAGGACUUGAAAGUAUGAAUUAGCAUAUAGAUUUUUUGAAUUUAGCUCUGAAGUG
This 365-nucleotide ribosomal RNA is filed under the name Echinolittorina sundaica. RNAcentral describes it as "partial 12S ribosomal RNA". Lineage: Eukaryota; Metazoa; Mollusca; Gastropoda; Littorinimorpha; Littorinidae. The record is from RNAcentral.